UUCCCUAAAUUCAAAUUAUAAUCAACAUCUUUCUUUCUCUCUCAAUAUCACUGCCAUCAUCCAGCAACCACAUGGGAAGUCCGCCGGCCGAUCUUCAUUCAGGUUCUCGAACAGGUUCUUUUGAGGAGAUGUCUUUAACGAGAAAAGUGGUGAUGGAAGGUUGAUAAGGAUGAUUCACGUAUGAGGUCGAUAAGGAUGAUUCACAUAUGUUUGUUUGCUUGCUCGAUAAGGAUGAUUCAGCAUACAACGUGGCGAAUAGUUGUA
Molecule: long non-coding RNA, 264 nt
Filed under: Helianthus annuus (common sunflower)
Lineage: Eukaryota; Viridiplantae; Streptophyta; Magnoliopsida; Asterales; Asteraceae
Description: sRNA HanXRQr2_Chr09g0386141
Source: RNAcentral